Cavia aperea (Brazilian guinea pig) is the source of this 267-nucleotide unclassified non-coding RNA. Its record names the gene 7SK. It matches the Rfam family "7SK RNA". Rfam says of the family: 7SK was discovered as an abundant small nuclear RNA in the mid-70s but a possible function has only recently been suggested. Two independent studies have found that 7SK RNA binds the CDK9/cyclin T complex (known as elongation factor P-TEFb). The record is from Ensembl. Lineage: Eukaryota; Metazoa; Chordata; Mammalia; Rodentia; Caviidae.
GGAUGUGAGGGCAAUCUGGAUGUGACGUCAUCACUCCGUUGAUCUCCAGGAUUGAUUUGGGUGAUCUGGCUGGCUAGCCAGCUGUUCCCCAUGUGCCUCCCCCUCCACUGAAGCUUCCUGCUCCUCCAGUAGAGGAGGACUGUUUUCUUUGUCAAGGAUACACCGGUAGCUAUGCUUCCCUCUUAGAAUCUCCAAACAAGCUCUCAAGAUAAAUUACUAAGACUCGUAUUUGUGGAGGAGUAUUUGCUAGACUUGUUUGUGUUUGAU